Long non-coding RNA from Vespa velutina, 7012 nucleotides. RefSeq lists it as uncharacterized. NCBI's taxonomy places the organism in Eukaryota, Metazoa, Arthropoda, Insecta, Hymenoptera, Vespidae. The transcript is spliced from 3 exons. The record is from RefSeq and is a predicted model, not a curated record.
GUCUCUUUUCAAUACUGAGAAAUUUGUUUUUUUAUCCUUUUUUACUUCUACUUACUCUUUUUUCUAUUUUUUUUAUAUUAGGUUUUUGGAUUUAAUAUUGAUAGUACGUUAACAAAUUAAAAUAAAAUGAAUUUUCCUUUAAAAAGAAUCACAAAGAAUUAUAUAUUUCUUUUCUGCGGGUAAGGAAAUCCAAAUAUUCCCAGAGAUUUAUCAUCAAUUUAACUAUAGAAUAUAUGAAUAUUUAGAUAUAAGAAUUUUCUCUUCCUUGUAAGUUGAAAAGAGGUAAAAGAAGAAUAAUAAGAAACCAUCCUUUUUUUUAUAUUAUCAUGGUGACUUUUUUAUUAAAUUCAGAAAAUCAGCUGUAAAGAAAGAGUUUUAAUUUUGUAUCUUUCUCAUAUGUUUCCUCUUUUUAUUAUAUUUUUUUAAAUCCUAUUUUUAUUUAUAUACUGUGAUUUGUCUCUUUAGUUAGCCAUAAUACACUUUAUUUCUCUCUUUCUCUUUCUCUCUUUUGUGUGUAGUCUGACUUGGACUUUCUGAUUUUUUUGCACUAAAAGAGAAAAAGAGAAAAAAGAGAGGACAGAUCGAUCGGCAAGAAAUGCGCGCCGCUAGGUCAGGUCGAGUAGGCGCUUUGGAGCACAGCCAUUGGUUCCGUGAGCCACGUUCUAUGCUACCUUCCGGCGAACUAGCAUUACAUUUAUAAAUAUAAUUAAAAAACCACCACUAUAUAUCAUCGGUUGGAGGGAUGAAUCAUUUUUUUUCUUUAUUUUUGCUUUUGUCUUUAAUUUUGAACAUAAGAAUAAUUCCCACCCUCAAUCCUCUCAUUCUUUUCUCUCUUUCUCUUUCUCUCUAUUUAUAUCUCAUUACAUUUACCUUCUUCUAUUUUCAUGAUACAUUUAAAUUGGAACGAUCGUAAUUAAAGGGAAAUUCGAGACCGACUUACUCAGUGUCUUUGCAUUUACUUUGAGAGCAAAUACGACUUGAAAGACACGAUUUUUUUUUCUUUUUAUAUUUUUGUCUUUUUCUCGAUAAAGAUAUUAAUGACGAAGAAAAAGAGAGAGAGAAAAGGAGAGAGAGAGAGAGAGAGAGAGAGAGAGAGAGAGAGAGAGAGAGAGAGAGAGAGAGAGAGAGAUGUCUAUCGAUUUCUUUUGUUUUCAUAGGUAUCUGAUGUCGAUCUCGAAUUUUCUUAUCGAGUUGUUAAAGAUUUUUUCAACAAAAUUUCGGAAAACUCAUAUUUUCUUUGAUUGUAUCUUCUUUCUAUUUUUUAAAAAUUAUAAAAAAUAUCAAAGUUCGUAUCGACGAACCACCAAACGGACUCUCUCGGUAACUGCAGAAGAAACCUAUCUUUUAUUUUCGUUUUUUUUGCUAAUCAUGUCUGGAUCGAACAGAGCAUUCCCCUUUCGACAUACUCGCGACUUUCUUUCUCUGUGUAUGUAUGUGUGUGUGUGUUUGUAUAUAUGUAUGUGUAUGUGUUUGUGUCUGCGUGUUUUGAAUAUGUAGGAAGUAUCGGCGAUAAGUUUAGUGGUUUGCACUCUCCAUGGCAUAACCGGCAAAUCGGAAAUCGAUAUCCGUGCAUAGCCAGCAUAAUAUAGCGUUAUGUCUAUAUGCCUACAUAGUUCCUUUCUCAAAGGUGUAUUUGCUCGAUAUGUAAUAUGUAUGUGUUCGUGCUCCUAUUGGCGCGCAUCGAGUGAAUUCUCCAGUAUUUUUCCAAGUUUUCGUGGAGAAAUUAUUUCUCUUCGUAUUUUGUGUAGGAUUACGUUCUAAUAUCGUAUGCAUUUUUUAGUAUUCCUUUUUAUUUUUUCAAUCUCUUCAGAGAUGCUAAUACCCAAGUAUGUGUUAAUUUUUUGUUGGAAAAUAUGUAUGUGAUUUCUUGUUGUAUGUUCCUAAUGUUAUCCACUAUAAUUUUUUUUUGUAUUUCUCUAAUUGUUAUUGAUUUAGAAUGAGUAACGUAUAAGUAUCUAAAAAGUGGGAUCAGUUUCCUUUAAUUUUAAAAAUUAUCAGCUCUAAAAAGAUUAAUGUAAAUAGUUUAUACAACUAUAAUAAGUAUAUUAAGAAUGUUUACCGAUUAUAGACAUCGUUUUUUAAUAUUUAAGAAUAAACUUCCAAUGUUCUCAUUUUACUGAUUUUUAUCAACAAGUCAUUUUAGUUUUAUUUAUUAUAGUUUUAAAGUUGCAAGGAACUUUCAAAUAAAGAUAUUGUCGAGAAAAAAUAUAGCUAUGAUAAUAGGGCAAUAUAUAUCAAUCCAUAAUUAAUAUGGAUAGAUACAAUGUAGACAAGUGUGUCAUUUAUAUGUUAUGUUAUAAAUCUUAUAUGAAAAUAUGGAAUUAUUUGUUUUGAAUAAAUCGUGUUCUUUCGCAGAGUUUAAUAAAACUACACUAAAAAAGUAUAGAAAUAAUCGCAAGUAUAGAUUUUUAUAAAACAAAUUUUUAAUUGAUAAAAACGCAAUCUUAAAAUCGAUAAUCUCGAUCAACAUUAAUGAUCAAAAACAAAAAACUGAUAAAUUAUAUUACUUUUUCUAAUUUCUUUUUGUUCGAACAAAUUUUACACGAAUUCGAACGAAAUAUUCGAAACCGGACAUUCGAAAACCGACCGUUGCGCAAAAGCAGCAGCAUCAAGGAAUCAAAGUAUAGACACUUAGACCUGGCUUUUGUUGUAUCUUAAUUGUGCGGUUUUUUUAAUUGCGAGUUUAAUAAUACCAAACGACUCUUCUUUUAUUCUUUGAUCUCUGAAUUCGCCUAUUCUCUUUGACAAGAUUUCUUUGUCUUUUUCUGCUUUUCUUUCUGUUUCUCUUCUUAUUUCUCUUUUACGUACAUUUACAUGCUCUGUGAGUAUAUUUCUUUGUCUGUUGUUUGUUUGUCUCUGAUCUUUCUCUCUCUCUUUCUCUUAUCUUUUCUUUCAUAAAUAAGAAAGAUCUUCAGCGAAGGCAAUUCGUCUUAUUAUAUCUCUUCUCAAGCGAUUUAGAAAUGAGGAAAGAAAGUUUAAUCAAGUGAAGAAUAUUUAUUCAAUCUAACUAUAAUAUAUCAAUUAAUGAUUCUAGUUUGUCAAGAGAAAAAGAGUGACACAAAUCAUUAAUUAUAGAAAUCGUAUCAAUCUUUGAUUAAUUUAUUUUUAGCUUUGGAAAUAAUUAACUCUCUCUGCGUUAGAACUAUCGACCUAUUUCUACUGUACUUAUCGAUUUUAACAAGUACUUAAAAAAGAAAAAGAAGAAAAAAGAACCAAUUUCUUUAAUUUGUUUAAUUUCUUUAAUAUAUACUAAUUUAUUUAAAUUGUACGAUAAAAAUAAAUAAACAAAAAUAACUUUUAGUAAAGAUUUUUUAUAACAAUUAUGAUUUCAUUAAUACUAAGCUCCGUAAUUAGAACAAGCUAAUUAAUUAAUUAAUGGUGAAAGUUAAUUUUGUGAUACUCAAUUGUGAACUCCAUUCGAUUGAUGUAAAGUCACAAUUGUCGUCACAGCUGCAAGGAACGUAAAGUCACCGUCAGGUGCGUUAGUAGAAGACUUGCUUUUAAAGUGGGAUGAGGUUGGGCGAAGGGUGGUUGGAGGAUAGGAAGCACAAAGGUGGCGUCGGCGUCGGUGUCGUGACGCCUGCGGAGAGAAAAGAGGGAGUCAGUCACUGCUCGACCUCAACGCGUUGUGCAUAACCUCUCGCUUGGAUUUCUAAACAAUAAUUGUGUCGAUCAGUUUAUAUACAUCAUUUUUUAUAUUCGAAAUUUUUCCUUUAAUUAUACGUUCGAAGAAAGAAGAAUGACUGGAAAUUGGAAUGUUCGUCGUACGUGUUAGUAAAUGAAAAAAAAAACGAAGUGAAAAAGAGGAAGACACUAAGAUUAACCUUCUUUCUUUCUCUAUUGCUUACUCUUUCUCUCUCCCUCUCUCUUUUUUCUUUUAAAUUGUCAAAUCAAAAACUGGGAUAACGGAAGAAAAAUAUCUGCAAGUUCGUUUCUAUUUUUCUUUUUUUUUGGAUUCAUUAUUGAGCACCACAAAGUUUCAGGAAACAUUUUUGAAAUAUUUUAUUUAUAUAUUUAUAUAAUUGAAAACGUGUUAUUCAAAGAAAGCUUAUUAUUUUUAUCCUUAAGAAGAAGGAAGGAAUGCACGAAUGAAAAGUUCAAAACAGAGAUAGUUAAAUAGAUAGAAAAUAAAAUGAAAUAAAGAAAGACAAAAAAUUGACGUGUGUAUAUAAGAGUAGAAAAAACGAGAGAAAGGUACGGGUGCGUGCUUGCGUAGGUGUCAACCUGGACAACGAUCCCAACGCGCAGCUAAAUUAGGCCAACUGAUUCCUUCGCUUCUCUCUCUCCCUCCCUUCUUCUCUCUCUCUCUCUCUCUCUCUCUCUCUCUCUCUCUCUCUCUCCCUCCCUCCCCCCUCUCUCUUUCUCUCUCUGCGCAAACAAAAGCAAGUUCGAGUCUUUUUUUAACUAUAUUCAGCGAAGUGAAAUAAACGAUCAAAAAUAAAAAAUAUAUAUAAAAAUAAGUGAAUGACGUAGUUCGAAAACGAAAGAUCGAAGAGGGAAAAGACGAAAGAAAGAAAAAACUAGAAGAAUGAUCUAUGCAACGAAGUGCCUUGACCGAGCGGCAUGCAUCGACCCGGGUAUCCGCGUGACCCGACGACCCGUUAUGCCAGCGCGUAGCUCCUGCUGAGGUCAUUCAAUACUUUGCCCGGAUACACUAUCGUCACGUAAACGACCUUACCGAACGAAUUUGUUUCGAAAUUCUUCGAGAUUUCCCCUCCUUCUAUUUACACCCGUUAAUUCGUCCUGUAUUCUUCUUCAAAUUUAUCUCAUCUGUUUUUUUUACAUGUAGAAAUAGUUUCAUUUUCUUUGUAUUUUAUUUUUUUUUUUCGCUAGGACCUUUUAAUUCUCUUUUCUUUUUAAAAGAGAAAAAUAUUCUUUUUUCUUUUUAGCGGGGAGAAUAGGUCUUGUAAGUUUCUCGUUCUUUAAUCAGUUGAACAUAUGCUCGGUAAUAUGAAACUUCGAUAUGUUAUUACAGAUAUCACAAGGAUAUUUGUUAGCUUUUUUACAACGUUUCUUUCUUUCAGAUAUGAAUAGCAUGAGAGACAUAAUAGAAUUAUAUCGAUUAUUUUGUAAUACAGAUCUUUAUAUUAAUCCAUGAAAUAUUGACAUGAACAAUAAAUUUACGGUCCUUGGAUAAUAUAUAAAAAAGAACUAUGAAACGAGAUCGUAAAGAAAAAAAAACAGAAAAACAGUGGUUGGUUAGUGUAUCUUUUCAAUGAAAAGGUUUCCUUUCAAUUCGCGUUAAAUACCAUUGUUAAAUUUCAAACAAUAUCGAAAUUGAUAAUCAAUCGUGAAAAGAAGAGGAUUAAACGUCAUAAGAGAAGAGCACAUUGUUGUUAUUGUUGUUGUUACAUCUCGAAAAAUGGAAUAAGAGGACAAGUGAAAUUCAUUGAAUCUCAGUAAUUCUCGAAGAACGAAGACGACGAAGCGAAUGCUGCGGACGAAGAGAGUUACGCGAUUAAGAAGACGAGGACGACGACGACGAAGAGGAGGCACUCGUUGUAUCACAGAGAGUCACUGACCUCUCGACCGAUCACAGUCCAGAGUGUGUGAUGUUUGAUGCUGCAGUGGUGCUUUAUGCGGAGGCGACGAAAAGAAUCGAAUUCGAACGAGCGCGUGUCAUCUUCCUUUCGACCCUGCGGCGGAUUUAAUAAUGAGCACGGCCGCGGUCGGCUGCUACUGCUGCUGUUGCUGCUGCUGCUGCUGCUGCUGCUGCUGCUGCUGCUGCUGCUGCUGCUGCUGCUGCUGCUGCUGCUGCUGCUGUUGCUGCUGCUGCUGCAUCAACCAUAUUGAUUUUGGUCUGGCCCUGGCAGAUUUUAAACGGGAAUGGCUUGUGAGUCAGGAGCGUAUCACGUUGAGCCACCUUUUGGAUAAAGAUUUACGGAUUUUCCAACAGAUCUUCUUACUUCCUUAUCCAUUUUUGUUUUUAUUUCUUUUUUCUUCUAGCAAGAAAUUUUCUUUGGAAUAAUUGGACGCAUUAAUUAAAGGCAUUACAGCAAAUUGAGGGCGAACUUGGUGAUUUAAAUGACAAAAGACCAAUUUCUUUUCUUUAUUCAACUCAAUCUCAAUUUACCAUCGUUUUGUACAUUCGAUCAAUAAGGUAGAGAACGAUAAAAAUCUUUUAUCGUCAAAAGUAAAGUGGAUUCCCGAAGAGAAUAGAAGCAUUUAAAUGAUUACGAUCGAAUAAUUGAUAAUAAUCAAAGAACGGUCGCGGUUGAAUUGCUUCACACUUUUUAUAGCGUGUCUCUUGGGUAAAAUCAGAUUUGGAAAUAAUUGAACAAACUUUUGAAAUGUGUUUUUAGUGAUAUUACUAUGUGUUGAAACGUCUGCCAGCGGAGAAUCGACCCUUUAAAAAGCAAGUUCGGCCAAAUGAUUUUCGAAUUGGUUCAGCCAGUGUACAAUAAAAAUUAAGGUGGAGGUUAUAUAUUUCUCUUUUUUUUUACGCUUUGAUUCGCUGCUGUCGGUGCUGAUACUGCUGGUACUGCUGAUACGGGCUGGUGCCAUGAGCUAACAGAAACAGGACGGAUUAACAUAAAAUUGUGAGGGUACAAAUUAAUCGAGCUUAUUGAUCGACCGUUUGGAAUUCUCACGUUUGCAACAAAUUUUAAUGAGGGAAAAAAAGAAAAGAACUAUUACGAAUAAGGAAGACAAAGAGAGAUAGAUCAAAAAGUUUUCGAUCGAUUUCUCGGAUUUAUCAGUUCGCGCUCUGUUAAUUCGACGUAGCAACCAAUAAUUUUUUUUACUUUUAUCCACUCUUUGAUGGCUCGUGCUUCCCGCUAGACUUCUAAAAGAGAGUUUUUUCAAGUCUACGAAAUCGGUUUCAUUAUAUAUAUAUGCUUAGCAUUAAAAUUUAUAUCGGGGUAGGAUCGCUUGCCAAUAUUCGCGCUUCGAUUUUGUAUAUAAAUCGUAUAAUACUAUCGAAUGAUGUAAUAAAGAGGUAUCUUAUAGUUAUUAUUAAUGUAUGUAUGUAUGUAUGUAUGUAUGUAUGUAUGUAUGUAUGUAUGUAUGUAUG